CCUACGGGUGGCAGCAGUGAGGAAUAUUGGUCAAUGGGCGAGCGCCUGAACCAGCCAAGUCGCGUGAGGGAGUACUGACCUAUGGGUUGUAAACCUCUUUUGUCGGGGAGCAAAAGCCGUACGUGUCCGGCUGUUAGUGUACCCGAAGAAAAAGCAUCGGCUAACUCCGUGCCAGCAGCCGCGGUAAUACGGAGGAGGCGUGCGUUAUCCGGAUUUAGUGGGUUGAAAGGGUGCGCAGGCGGAUUUUUAAGUCAGCGGUAAAAUCGUGGGGGUAAACCCCAUUCAGCCGUUGAAACUGGGGAUCUAGAGUGUGCGAGAGGUAUGCGGAAUGCGUGGUGUAGCGGUGAAAUGCAUAGAUAUCACGCAGAACCCCGAUUGCGAAGGCAGCAUACCGGUGCACAACUGACGCUCAGGCACGAAAGCGUGGGGAUCGAACAGGAUUAGAUACCCCAGUAGUC
Molecule: ribosomal RNA, 458 nt
Filed under: uncultured bacterium
Lineage: Bacteria
Description: partial 16S ribosomal RNA
Rfam family: Bacterial small subunit ribosomal RNA
Source: RNAcentral